Molecule: ribosomal RNA, 261 nt
Filed under: uncultured archaeon
Lineage: Archaea
Description: partial 16S ribosomal RNA
Rfam family: Archaeal small subunit ribosomal RNA
Source: RNAcentral
CAGCCGUAAACUAUGCUCGCUAGGUGUCAGGCAUGGCGCGACCGUGUCUGGUGCCGCAGGGAAGCCGUGAAGCGAGCCACCUGGGAAGUACGGCCGCAAGGCUGAAACUUAGAGGAAUUGGCGGGGGAGCACAACAACGGGUGGAGCCUGCGGUUUAAUUGGACUCAACGCCGGACAACUCACCGGGGACGACAGCAAUAUGUAGGCCAGGCUGAAGACCUUGCCUGAAUCGCUGAGAGGAGGUGCAUGGCGUAGUCGUGU